This 1917-nucleotide long non-coding RNA is filed under the name Ananas comosus (pineapple). RNAcentral describes it as "long non-coding RNA (ACOM_LNC016758)". Lineage: Eukaryota; Viridiplantae; Streptophyta; Magnoliopsida; Poales; Bromeliaceae. The record is from RNAcentral.
UUCUAAAAGCACCCCAGCUGCACUCUAUAUAUAUAUAUAUAUAUAUAUUCGAAUUCAAAAAUUCAAAAUUCAAAAUUCCUGUAUUGAUCAAAAUCUCGGAUAUUACAUUAUAUGUUGGACUAACUCGCUUAUAUUGCCUCCUUUCGACCUAGUAGGUUGAGCUCUUUCCUUGGAUGCCCAUACCCACUGGGAACUAUGUUUAUAGUUCUCACCUCUAUAUUUGUCAGGUUCACACGUAAGCGGUGCAGCGGCGCAAGAAAAGGGCGUAGCUCAGUAGAUAGCAUCCUACCACUUGUGACCAGAGAUAGAUGUACCCUGCAUCAGAGUAGCUUAAGGGUAUAGAAAGAAAAGAAUGAAAAGAAAUUGUAAUAACAAUUUUAUUGUAUUUGGAAAGGAAACAAAAAUGUAAUGUGAAUGCUUGUAAUAACGUAGUUAUUUAUGUUUAUGAUGCUUUCCUUAUACAAUUUGUGUAUAAAUUCUAUUCAUGUUUGGAAUGUUUUGAAUUGUACCGAUUGUGAUGCCGUGGGCGGGUAGGUGAAACUUUGUCCGUUCGGCGGGUCUGGUGCAUGCGCGCCUGUGUGGGGCUUCUUCCACCUAUUUAGGGAAGGGACGGCAGGGUGUGACAUAUAUAGUAAAAUCCUCUCUCCUUUUUGUAACAGGAAAGGUUAAAUGUUUUUCUUUUAACAGUAAUGAUCUUUUUUUAAUACAGAAAAAUUAAACCCUCUUUUUUUUUUUUAACAACGGUAUACAACAAAAGUUAUAUGUAAACAAAGAUUUGCAAUUUGAAUUGUAAAGAUAUGCAAUUUGUUGGUUUAAAUAGGCUAGCAUCCUACUUUGUGGCGAGAGGCCAAGUUGGGCCGAGUCACCUUUUGAAAUGGCGUGAGGUUGGGUUGGGCUGAGUCAUAUUCGAAGUGGCGUGAGGCUAGUUGGGACAAGUCACAAUCGAGACCCGUGGGUGCUGCAACUAUACGCUUUAAGUGAAUUGAUUGCGUAUAUAUCUAACAGCCCGAGCUUUGGGAUUAAUGGUUAGCGCCAACGAUCCGACACAAUUAAUGGUUAGCACCAACGAUCCGACAAGAGGUAUCAGAGCCAGAGGUCACGGGUUCGAUUCCUGCAUACUGCAAAUGUGUGCAGGUACUGGAGAAGGUAUUGUUGGCUUAAAUAGGCUAGCAUCCUGCUUUGUGGCGGGAGGCUAGGUUGGGCCGAGUCACUAUUUGACAUGGCGUGAGGCUGGAUUAGGCAGAGUCAUGUUCGAAGUAGCGUGAGGCUAGUUGGGCCGAGUCACAAUCGAGACCCGUGGGCGCUGUAUCUAUACGCUUUAAGUUAAUUUGUUUAAGUAUUUCUAACAGCUCGAGCUUUUGGGAAUAAUAGUUAACGCCAACGAUCCGACACAAUUAACAAUUUAAAAUGCUAAUCCCAAAAUAUUUAAAUUUAUAUAACAAUCAUACAAUCAAGUUGUCAAACAAGAAUUAUAUGCAAUAUCUUUUUUCUUUAAUGGAUUAGCACUCGUUAGAUUUUUAAUCACAAUCAGAUUGGAAACUAUACCUUAGAUUGUGAGGGAAAAUCUGCACUGAAAAUUCGAUCAUGAUUAGUAAUCUAACUAAUUUUGUGAUAAAAAUAAAAUCGAACUUAUAGAUCAACGCAAAUAUCCAAAUAAAGAUUUGAUCAAUCCGGAAGUAUGCGAGCCACUACCCGAAGGAGUAUUCCCGUCCUUACGUGCGGGAUCAACCCGUAACAAACCAUAGGGGCAAAUAUGAAUAUCACUGGACUUUUGAAGGGACAAAUCUGAAAACUUGUACUAAUUUAUAGGAAUAUAUCUGUUAUUCAAUAUGUUUACAAGGAGCUGUAUGAAAUUAUCCCUUUAUUUUGAGUUGAAGGGUUAUGAGUUGAGAGUUUAAUCAGUAACUGAGUAAUAUU